UACGUAGGUGACCAGCGUUGUCCGGAUUUACUGGGCGUAAAGAGCGCGCAGGCGGUCGUUCAAGUCGAGUGUGAAAGCCCCCGGCUCAACUGGGGAGGGUCACGCGAUACUGAUCGACUCGAAGGCAGGAGAGGGUAGUGGAAUUCCCGGUGUAGUGGUGAAAUGCGUAGAUAUCGGGAGGAACACCGGUGGCGAAGGCGGCAUCCUGGACCAACAUUGACGCUGAGGAGCGAAAGCUAGGGGAGCAAACGGG
RNAcentral lists this ribosomal RNA (253 nucleotides) under uncultured bacterium. RNAcentral describes it as "partial 16S ribosomal RNA". It matches the Rfam family "Bacterial small subunit ribosomal RNA", at positions 524 to 776 of the family's 1533-position model. The record is from RNAcentral.